GAUGAAGAACGUAGUGAAAUGCGAUAAGUAAUGUGAAUUGCAGAAUUCAGUGAAUCAUCGAAUCUUUGAACGCAUCUUGCGCUCCUUGGUAUUCCGAGGAGCAUGCCUGUUUGAGUGUCAUUUUAACUUCUCAACCAUAUCGAAUUGUUUUUCGAGGUGGCUUGGACAUGGGGGUUUUUGCAGGCUUUAAUAAUGAAGUCGGCUCCUCUGAAAUGCAUUAGUGGUAUCUGAAGCAGAACUGCUACUAUUAGGUGUGAUAAUUAUCUAUGCCUCUUGGUAUACUGCAUGAACAGAUUGCGCUGCUUCCAACUUGUACACCCUUUGGUGUUUGACAAAUUUGACCUCAAAUCAGGUAGGACUACCCGCUGAACUUAAGCAUAUCAAUAAGCGGAGGA
RNAcentral lists this unclassified non-coding RNA (395 nucleotides) under soil metagenome. RNAcentral describes it as "partial contains 5.8S ribosomal RNA, internal transcribed spacer 2, and large subunit ribosomal RNA". The stretch from base 1 to 120 matches the Rfam family "5.8S ribosomal RNA", at positions 35 to 154 of the family's 154-position model. The record is from RNAcentral.